ACGAACGCUGGCGGCAUGCCUAACACAUGCAAGUCGAACGAGACCUUCGGGUCUAGUGGCGCACGGGUGCGUAACGCGUGGGAACCUGCCCUUAGGUUCGGAAUAACUCCCCGAAAGGGGUGCUAAUACCGGAUAAUGUCUUCGGACCAAAGAUUUAUCGCCUUUGGAUGGGCCCGCGUUGGAUUAGCUAGUUGGUAGGGUAAAAGCCUACCAAGGCGACGAUCCAUAGCUGGUCUGAGAGGAUGAUCAGCCACACUGGGACUGAGACACGGCCCAGACUCCUACGGGAGGCAGCAGUGGGGAAUAUUGGACAAUGGGCGAAAGCCUGAUCCAGCAAUGCCGCGUGAGUGAUGAAGGCCUUAGGGUUAUAAAGCUCUUUUACCCGGGAUGAUAAUGACAGUACCGGGAGAAUAAGCUCCGGCUAACUCCGUG
Molecule: ribosomal RNA, 432 nt
Filed under: uncultured bacterium
Lineage: Bacteria
Description: partial 16S ribosomal RNA
Rfam family: Bacterial small subunit ribosomal RNA
Source: RNAcentral